RNAcentral lists this ribosomal RNA (457 nucleotides) under uncultured bacterium. RNAcentral's name for it is "SSU rRNA". It matches the Rfam family "Bacterial small subunit ribosomal RNA", at positions 26 to 518 of the family's 1533-position model. The record is from RNAcentral.
AGAACGAACGCUGGCGGCAUGCCUAACACAUGCAAGUCGAACGUGAUCCAUGACUUCGGUUGUGGUGAAAGUGGCAAACGGGUGAGUAACGCGUGGGAAUCUGCCCAGAGGUAGGGAAUAACCGCGGGAAACUGCGGCUAAUACCCUAUGUGCCCUACGGGGCAAAGAUUUAUCGCCUUUGGAGGAGCCCGCGUCGGAUUAGGUAGUUGGUAGGGUAACGGCCUACCAAGCCUACGAUCCGUAGCUGGUCUGAGAGGAUGAUCAGCCACACUGGGACUGAGAUACGGCCCAGACUCCUACGGGAGGCAGCAGUGGGGAAUAUUGGACAAUGGGGGCAACCCUGAUCCAGCAAUGCCGCGUGAGUGAUGAAGGCCUUCGGGUUGUAAAGCUCUUUCGGCGGGAAGAUGAUGACGGUACCCGCAGAAGAAGCCCCGGCUAACUUCGCGCCAGCAGCCGC